Molecule: ribosomal RNA, 874 nt
Filed under: uncultured archaeon
Lineage: Archaea
Description: bacterial SSU rRNA
Rfam family: Archaeal small subunit ribosomal RNA
Source: RNAcentral
UUCUCCGGUUGAUCCCGCCAGAGGUUACUGCUAUCGGUGUUCGCCUAAGCCAUGCGAGUCAUAUGUUCUUCGUGAACAUGGCGUACUGCUCAGUAACACGUGGAUAACCUGCCCUUGGGUCUGGGAUAACCCCGGGAAACUGGGGAUAAUACCGGAUAACGCAUAUAUGCUGGAAUGCUUUAUGCGUAAAAUGGAUUCGUCUGCCCAAGGAUGGGUCUGCGGCCUAUCAGGUAGUAGUGGGUGUAAUGUACCUACUAGCCUACAACGGGUACGGGUUGUGAGAGCAAGAGCCCGGAGAUGGAUUCUGAGACAUGAAUCCAGGCCCUACGGGGCGCAGCAGGCGCGAAAACUUUACAAUGCGGGAAACCGUGAUAAGGGGACACCGAGUGCCAGCAUCAUAUGCUGGCUGUCCAGAUGUGUAAAAUACAUCUGUUAGCAAGGGCCGGGCAAGACCGGUGCCAGCCGCCGCGGUAACACCGGCGGCCCGAGUGGUGAUCGUGAUUAUUGGGUCUAAAGGGUCCGUAGCCGGUUUGGUCAGUCCUCCGGGAAAUCUGAUGGCUCAACCAUUAGGCUUUCGGGGGAUACUGCCAGGCUUGGAACCGGGAGAGGUAAGAGGUACUACAGGGGUAGGAGUGAAAUCUUGUAAUCCCUGUGAGACCACCUGUGGCGAAGGCGUCUUACCAGAACGGGUUCGACGGUGAGGGACGAAAGCUGGGGGCACGAACCGGAUUAGAUACCCGGGUAGUCCCAGCCGUAAACGAUGCUCGCUAGGUGUCAGGCAUGGCGCGACCGUGUCUGGUGCCGCAGGGAAGCCGUGAAGCGAGCCACCUGGGAAGUACGGCCGCAAGGCUGAAACUUAAAGGAAUUGGCGGGA